UCACUCCUACGGGAGGCAGUAGUGAGGAAUAUUGGUCAAUGGGCGGAAGCCUGAACCAGCCAAGUCGCGUGAGGGAAUAAGGCCCUACGGGUCGUAAACCUCUUUUGCCGGGGAGCAAGGGCCGGGACGCGUCCCGGCCCGGAGAGUACCCGGAGAAAAAGCAUCGGCUAACUCCGUGCCAGCAGCCGCGGUAAUACGGAGGAUGCGAGCGUUAUCCGGAUUUAUUGGGUUUAAAGGUGUCGUAGGCGGGCUUUUAAGUCAGCGGUAAAAAUUCGGGGCUCAACCCCGUCCGGCCGUUUAAACUG
Molecule: ribosomal RNA, 305 nt
Filed under: uncultured bacterium
Lineage: Bacteria
Description: bacterial SSU rRNA
Rfam family: Bacterial small subunit ribosomal RNA
Source: RNAcentral